Molecule: ribosomal RNA, 291 nt
Filed under: uncultured prokaryote
Description: partial 16S ribosomal RNA
Rfam family: Bacterial small subunit ribosomal RNA
Source: RNAcentral
GUGUCAGCAGCCGCGUAAUACGUAGGGUGCAAGCGUUGUCCGGAAUUAUUGGGCGUAAAGGGUACGCAGGCGGAUAAUCAAGUCAAGCGUGAAAGGUGUCGGCUUAACCGACAGACUGCGUUUGAAACUGAUUAUCUUGAGUGUAACAGAGGAGAGUGGAAUUCCUAGUGUAGUGGUGAAAUACGUAGAUAUUAGGAAGAACACCAGUGGCGAAGGCGACUCUCUGGGUUAACACUGACGCUGAGGUACGAAAGCUGGGGGAGCGAACGGGAUUAGAAACCCCAGUAGUCC